UCGAAGCAAAUUUUGUUAUUGAUUUAUUUUGUUAAAAAAAUGCAGCGCAUUUCACUCAAAGCAAUGUAUUACGAGCAAGAUGCUCGAGCAAAACUAAUGUCAAUAGAAAAUAAAGGCUUGUUAGUUCGAAAUGGCCAUGCCAAUGCACAUUUUUGUACAUUCGUUGAAGGACGCUUUUGCCAAAUGGGUGCGCCAUUUUAUUUGUCUCAAAAUACGUAGUAAAAAGUAUCGUCUGUGAUGGAUAUUUAGAAAAGUGACAUAAAUAUGUUAGUGAUCUCAGUGAAAAGAUAUACAAACACAGCAAUGGGUGGACCGCCGUGGUUUUUUUGGUUCAUCUUGGCCAUGAUUAUAUCAAGUAUCGUUGUAGUAAUAUGCCUAACAAUAUGUCGAUGCUUUCUGCGCAAAGAACCAAAAACCGGAAGAAACAUAACACCCAAUCACAAUAUGAGGAGCUCAGGCGAUCAGUUCAGUCAAAAUGCAUGGGAUAACCCAUCAGACUAUACGAGUAACGCAUAUGGCAUACAUGCUCAUACGACACAUAAUUGGGCACAUAAUAUGGCAAUGGCCAGUGACAACGGUAAUGACAUCAGAGUUGACAUUGGAGCCGGUUGUGACAGUGGGGGUGGACGUGACAGUGGCGGUGGAUGUGACAGUGGCGGUGGUGAUACUGGCGGUGGAUGUGACAGUGGCGGUGGUGAUACUGGCGGUGGAUGUGACAGUGGCGGUGGUGACACUGGCGGUGGAUGUGACAGUGGGGGAGGCGGUACUGAUUGAAGAAAAUUGGAACUCAUAUAAUUCAUUUUAUAGGAAGCUGGUCCCUAAGGUCCAUUAAUAUUAUAAAUGCAAAAGUUACUCUGUCUGUUACUUCUUUAUGCUUAAACUGCUGAACUGAUUUAGAUGAAAUUUGACAUGAAGAUAGUUUGAGGCCUGGGAAAGGAGAUAUAAUAGGUUUUAUUUAAAGUAAUUAUAUUGUAUGGAUAAGGUCUAUACAUUUUUUUUAUUGAUUUUUGUUACGAUAAUUACUAUCUAGAAACGUUAAAUCUUAAAUGACAGGUGCAAUGGGACGCAUCUCUCACCUUCAUUUUCUUUAAUUCGUUGUUUUUAAUUUGCCAUUUUUAAUCCCCGACGCAGAAAAGAGGUGUUACUUAUGUUUGACUCCAAUGUCUGCCUGAGUGUCUGUAUGUGGCAUCGUAACUCUCAAACGGAUGGACCUAUUUCUAUGUGUUUUUUUUUACGUAAAACCGAGUGUCCUUGCAGUGGUUUCUAGCUAUGUCUGAUAAAAAUCGAUCCAGCAGUUUGGAGAGUAUCAGCUGUUUUCCAAAAUGAUGUAAGGUAUUUUUGGUAUUCAAUGUUUUUUUUUUGCUUAAUGCGUAGAAAUUUUAUUUUAUUUUUAAUUUAAUAGUUAUUAUCAUUUUUUUUUUCUUUCCUAAAGGUAGGCAUUUUAAAAUAUGAAUAUAAAAAUAAAGAGAUCUUACAAGAUACGUAUAUAUUUAUUACAUUAUUAUUUGUGUUUCAUUCAUCUAUGGCUAUUCUAAGAUAGUUGGCUUGGAUUUUAGAUGUCUGUACCCCUAGUGUAAAUUUAUUCGAUAGCGAGACGUGACGUACGCGUUUGCGUGAAGUCUCAUUUUGUAUGGGAUUUUGAGUUUCCAAAACGUCCCGUGACGCGCUGUUUCUAAAUGCCAUACAAAAUGAGACUGUUUUUUUUAUGUAAUAGGCAGCAAACGAGCAGACGAGCUGCCUGAUAUGAAGCAGUCAUCGCCACCCAUGGACAUAUAAGCAACAUCGGAGGAGCCACUUAUGCGUUGCCAACCUUUGAGAACUCUAAAUACCUGCUUCGUGAAGAACCCCAUGUCAUAGCGCAAGGGACCUCAGAAGGUAGCUCAUUCCACAACUUGCACGUUCUGGGCAGAUCGCCACGUGUCGAGAAAGUGAAAAUGAACUUUGUUUCUUUGGCGGGAGGUGCGGUGAUAAAAACGCGACGGUGUCACCAAUUCAAAAAGUUCUUCACAACAUUCCCCAUUGUACAGACAGUAGAACAGGCAUAGAGAGCCAACAUCUCUCCGAAAACUGAGAGGUUCCAAACUGACUGUGAGAUCGGGGUCACCAACAAUACGAACUGCCCGACGUUGGAUGGAGUCAAGUGGAAGGAGUUGGUAUUUCGGUGCUUCAGACCAGAGGUGAGAACAGUACUCCAUAUGUGGUCCAACCUGCGCUUUGUAUAACGAAAGCCGGUGACCUGGUUUGAAGUACUGUUUCACUCUAUUGAGGCCAGUUUGGCUUUGAGUUCCAAAUGACCCCGAAAUUGGACUUCGUUCGUAAUGUCAACACCGAGUUUCCCGAUACUCUUGGAGAUGGUAAGGGGAAUCUGGAAUUUUGACGCAAAGACAAAUGGGGUUUUCUUAGUGGAAAACGCGCAAACUUGUGUCUUACUGGGGUUACACGAGAUAAUUUUUUGAUUUUUUCUUAAACACAUUCGAGUUUUCAAACGUAAAAUUUUAUAUAAAUAUUUUUUACUGCCCAAAUAUAAUUAUAUUGAACAUAUGAAAUACAUAUGCAUUUUUACAGCAUAAUAAUAAAUAAUAAUUCGGCCUAUACACGUCCCACAGCUGGUCUGAGGUCUCCUCUCAUAUCUCAUGCGCAAGAGGGCUUGAACUAUAGUCCCCACGCUGGCCCAAUGCGGAUUGGGGGCUUCACAUAUAGCUUUGAAUUUCUUCAAUUAUACAGGUUUCCUUCCCCGAAAAGCUAGUGGCAAAUAUCAUGCUAAUAUCAAAUGAUAUUUCGAACAAAAGUUCCGAAAAACUCAUUAAUAUGAGCCAGAAUUUAAGUAAAGCCGUGACCUCCGGAUUGAAAGUCGGACGUCAUAUCCACACCAUACGAACACAGUGCAACGCACGAUACUUAAAAACGAGACAGAGUUUUGUCUCUUUCACUUUCUAUUGAAGCGUUAGAGAUAACACUGUUGCAUUUAACAGGCAAACACUGUCAAGCACUCGAUUAUAGAUCUUAGCGGAUUGACUUCAAGUUGUAAAUGAGUUCACGAAUGCGAAUGAUAUUUAUAGACGCCAAUGACGCCAUGUUCGUUGCCGUGGCAUCGACACAGAACGAGAACUAGCACUCUCAUUUUUAGUUUGACACUUAUGUCAAUAAAGUAAGGUUUAAAUUUGUAUGCGUAAUGCAAUAUUGAUCACGGCAAGUUGAUAGUAAACAUUUCAUUUGGGCGUAGAUGCUGUUUUAUCAAAGACGCGUGGUAUUUUUAUUUACGUUUUUAUUUGGAGAAAUAUUUAGUAGACACUAGAAUAAUAUAAUUGUUGUUUUUCAACAAGUGUUUGAAUAGGAAUGUUCAGAGGAAAAUGAAUGAAGUGCUUGUGUUAUUUACGGCUUUCGCUGUUAUUAUUUUUGGAGUAUUGCGGAGCUCACCAUACGAGAUACGACGACGACAUACCUCACAUACCUAAUAUUCACAUUGACAGCGGACAUCAUAAUGACAGAGGCCAUCACAAUGAUAGGGAUGACAAUUGUCACAACAGCAGAAACGACCACGGAAGCUGUGACAACGAUACAGGCGGCGGUGACACGGGUGGUGGAUGUGACAGUGGCGGUGGGGACACCGGCGGUUGUGACAGUGGGGGAGGAUGUGACAGUGGGGGAGGCUGUGAUGACUGACGUUAAUAUAUAUUUGAUAUUUAGUGUAGUAAGAAUACGUUUGAAUUGUUUAAUUAAAAGGACGGAAGCACGGAAAACUUUAUGUGGAGAUUUAGCUAUGAAAAAACAGGGUAAAGAUGAAUAUGGCCAUGAUAGCUUUAUUUUAUACAAUCAAGCCAAUUAGAUCGUACACUGACAUAAGAAUGAUAUUUGAAUUGUAAUGCGUCUCGCCCUCGGCAAUUUAUGGACAAGUACGAGCGAAAGGAGAGAAUGUCUUCGUGAUAAUGAUUCGAGCGUGCUGCUGCAACGAUAAGCCUAAGCUUGUGAACCAGACACCCAGGGGCCGUUACGUGACCAAAAGAACUUUUGACUUGGACAGUGAUUUUCCCGAAUUCGACGUGCCGCCAGCCUAUGAUGAAGUCACGUUUACCAGUGGACGUGACAGUUGGGGAGGCCGUCACACCGGCGGUUGUGACACUGGAGGAGAUGAUGGUGGCGGCGGGUGUGACACUGGAGGUGGUGAUGGUGGCGGCGGUUGUGACACUGGAGGUGGUGAUAGUGGCGGUUGUGACAGUGGGGGAGGCGGUGGAUGGGACAGUGGGGGAGGCGGUGGAUGGGACAGUGGGGGAUGCGGUGGAUGGGACAGUGGAGGAGGCGGUGGUUGUGACAGUGGGGGUGGUUGUGACAGUGGUGGAGGAGGAGGUGGUAUUGAUUAAAUUUUUUAAGAAUGUUUUGUACGUUUAAUUUUCACGAAUGUUUUUAUGUAAAUAGUAAGCACAUCAUAUUUCAUUACACAGUAAUGCAAAUAAACUAGAUAUUAGAAUAAACUCAAUGGAAGCAAAUUCAUGAUUUAUGUAGUUAUUUAUUGUGGCCGUCUUUCGUAUGCGUUCGCUUGCGCUUCAAUGGCAUAAGUUGAUCAAAUACCAACCUAGAUUGCGCUGCUGGGGAAACAAAUGAAGUAUUCUGAAAUAUCUGAAUAAUUAAAAUAUUUUUUGCUAAAUUUAUUUUCCAGAUAACCUUAUUACCUCGUACCUCUCGGUCCAGGUACCUUAUACAAUUAGAGGUCAUUUGUAAUAACUAACUCAUGUAGUGUCAGCCAGUCGAGCAAGUUAUUAAAUAUUAGCUAGUCUAUGGUUUCGAAUUGAUAUUUCACUCAUAGAUUAAUAAAAAUUGAUCUCGGUCUGCAAUUUUACAUAGUGUAGUGCUACCUAUCCUUUUUGACCAAAGAUCCAGUCUGCCAUAAUAUUACGAUUAUUUUAGUUAAACUCCUAUUUGAGUGUACAUUGCUUUAAAAAAUGCGUAAGUGAAACUAGUAAAGGUGUGCCGGUUGGCAAUAAAGACGAUUUUAUAGUUGAUUACAUAUGUAAUAAGUGCAUUAUUGACGACCUGCACUGUGGGCCCAUUCUAGAUAUUAGUUAGUUUUUAUGUUUAUUUUGGCAUUAUCUGUAAAGAAAAGAGGUGACCUAGCGGCAAGAGCAUGCUACUUUCAAUCCGGAGGUUGUGGUUUCAAACCCCGGCUCGUACCAAUGAGUUUUUCGAAACUUAUGUACGAAAUAUCAUUUGAUAUUUACCAGUCGCUUUUCGGUGAAGGGAAACAUCGUGAGGAACACGGACUAAUCCCAAUAAGGCCUAGUUUACCCUCUGGGUUGGAAGGUCAGGUGGCAGUCGUUUUUGUAAAAACUAGUGCCUACGCCAAUUAUGGGGAUUAGUUGCCAAGCGGACCCCAGGCUCCCAUGAGCCGUGGAAAAAUGCUGGGACAACGCGAGGAAGAAGGAAGCAUUACCCAUGUAUAUGGGAACUGGACCAUAAAAAAAUAAUACUUCUCUUUUUUCUAAAUCUUUUUUUUAUUACUUACAACCAAUCUUAAUCUUAAUGACAUGCAUUAUUAUUUGCACAGUUAUAAGAUAUUUACGUCUAUUUUUCCAUGUGUGUAUAACACAAUCUUUUGAAAUAAUCAGCUUAGCUAAUGUAAGCCAUCAACUAGAAUAAAAAAAAAAACUGUUAUCGCCACAACAAGGAUUGAAGCUUCUGCCACAAUAAAACAGUAGGUAUAGAGGAUGGAACUGUUAUAAAUAAUAACCAUUCAUACCUAAGUAUUAUCAACAGAAAGGAAUUAUCACGAAUAAAAAGUAGCUAUACUAAUUUGCCAAUCCAAUCCGAGAAUCCAAUCCGACCCUCUAUCUUGUUUAUAAACCAGCUGAGCUGAGGCCAAAUCUAUGUGCUAUAAUAUUUAUUUAAGUUUUGCAUUGACAAUGAAUAUACUUGCUUAUUCAUAAUUUAGAUCAACGAACUUCGCUGCAGUAGAAUAAAGAAAUCUAAUGUGAUCUUGGUACCUACCAACAUCACUUUAGAUUUCUUUCUUCUUGAUGAUUCUAUGCUACUUUCCGGUUGCCCUUUAUCAAAAAGCCACCUGAAAGUAGCAUAGAACCAUAAAAUUAAUAAAUUAUGUUUUAUUGGUAUUAAGCACAUAACCGGAUCCACUAAAAGUACAUAACACGCACAGUGUAUUGGGAAAUUAUCUUGCACAAACGACACCAACGGUAAUUCAAUCCCUGGAUACACAUUUCAAACUGUGGAUAACAUGGCCUCACACGUCCACUUAUCACUAUUCGUGUCGCUUGGUGUUCUGACAAGUUCUUCUAGAUCGGCUGCAGUCAUCAAAGCCUACGUGUGCACUAUGAUACGGUUUAAUUUCAUGUUAAAAGUCUUCCCGUUAGUAAAAACGGCAUAAAUACAUUUAGGUAAAAUUAUCUUACCAAUAUGUUUAAUAAGAAAUUAGUCAGGUAAAAAGGUCCAAGCAAAAUUUAUCAUAAGAAUUAAUCGAGUAAAUAUGCUUAUUUUAUAGUCAAGUAAAACAAUAUAUAUGUAAAAAGCGGCAUGAAACAAAUCAAGAUAAAUUAUCUAGUCACUUUUCAAACAACAAUUUCAAACUUUUUGAGCUGCUUGUGGGGCAUAGGAAUAUCCUAGGUGGAAACCUAGGAUGCAUCCUAUGAAUUUUAUAGUUAUAAACCACAAGGAAAAUUAUUGUCAUUAUAAAAAAACCGGACAAGUGCGAAUCUGACUGGCCCACCGACGGUUCCGCACUUUUUAGUAUUUGUUGUUAUAGCGGUAUGUAUAUAUCAUCUGAGAAAAUUUCAACUAUUACUCGGGGCACUCAGAAGUCGCUCAGUGCCCUGAGGGCUCAAUAUAAUAACGGCUUUCUAAUAAUAGCUUGAAGCUGCCCCGCUUCUGUAGUGCUUCAAAAAUGUUUGCGGAGGCGCGCACAGACGGUUUUCACGCCAUCGUACGCAAAAGAACUGCCUCGCUAGUGAAUAGGAUGCGGAGCAGCUCUAACGGCAUCCUGAAAAUGUUUGUAGGAAAGCCUGAUUCUCCCAUGCACAAACAUAUUAAUAAAUUAAUGAUCAUGGGUAGUUUAAUUGCGUGAAUUUUAAUUUUGAAUUUUAAUUUAAUUGAGUUAUUUUAUUGUGAAUUUUAUGUUAAUUUAUUUAUAAUAUUGUGAAUUUCAAUUUAAUUUAUUAAUUAAUUAUUAAUUAUUAACAAUAGAUUUUAAGUCACUAUGUACCCCAAUGGAUCCUAGUUAUCUAAAUAAAGAAAAUUUAUUAUUAUUACGGUUCAUGAGAUACGGCCUGGUGACUGACGGACAGAUGGACGAAAGGACGGACAGUGGAGUCUUAGUUAUAGGCUCCUGUUUUAUCCUUUGGGUACGGAACCCUAAAAAAUACCGUCUAAGAUAUUUGUAUUGAUAUACACAAAGAAAGUAAGUAAACAAAAUUCUUACUAACCGUCACAUGGACGUAAGAAGAAAUAUUUAUACAUUUGUAAAUUUUAAACAUUUAUAGAUAGUCGCGGUACAAACAUAAGUAGAUACUGAUCAUCUGUUUGGCUGUUUAAUGGACUUUGUUUAUUUACUUAUUGCGAUUUCAACAUUUAAAAAAGUUUGCAACUCGACAAAUAAUGCAAUUUGUAUGCAACCUAAUGUUGCUGUCGCGAAAUCGAGACUGCAAUGGUUUUAGCUUUUUAAUUUUGGACUAACCAUUAACUACGCACUUCGCGACCUAUUUUUAACCGGCUAAGCUGACUUUGCCGUCCAUUUUUGAGUUUGUUUUAUUCUAAUUUAAAAAUACGGACGCAGAGUAAUCGAAGACUGCUUCCUUCCAAUUAUAUUCCGUAGAACCAUAAGAGAUAGAAAUAGUUCGAUACAGUGGUGCAAUAAUAACAGGAGAUUAUUUGCGGCCACGCAAAAUUAGAUCUUAGCCAAUUGAAUUAAUGAACAUAUCUAUUUAUAAUGUAAUCAAUUGGUUAAAUAUAGGUAAACUAGCCAUAGCACUCGCAAUGAGUCAUCGCAUCCACAAAGCGUAUGGUUUAUCCACGUGCGUUGGCUUGUCCAGACGUUGUUAGUUGGUCUAUAAUUUAGGACUUUAUAUCGCUGGGGUAAGAUUUAAAUUUGAAUGAGAAAUAUUUUCUUGUGGGGGAAUUCCAAUGUUAUUAAACCCAGACGGCAUGCUCGCGUGUUUGUUUCAUUCUGUCUCAGAAGUUGUUGAAUAAAGGCCAGGUCUGCGAUAUUAACUUAAAACUACAAUGGAAUUAAAUAAAUUCUUCUUUCCUAAAAAGCAGUACUCAAAGUGUUUAAACAUAUCUCUUCAAUAUAUGUGCUAAGGUGUAGUGAAAGAUCGUGAAAAAUGGAUGUCCCUCCAGGUCCCCCCUGGUUUUUUUGGUUAUUUGUGGCCUUUAUUUGUUCGGCUGCAUUCGGAAUCUUCCUGAUGACUAUAAUUCGAGCGUGCCAAUACUGCUGCAGGGAAAAGCCUAAGCCUCGCGCGAACCAGACCCGCAGGGGCCGUUACGUGACUAACAGAACUUCAGACAUGGAGAUUGGUUUUAGCCCCGGAUUCGACGCGCCGCCAGCCUAUGAUGACGUCAUGUUUACCAGUGGACGUGACAGUUGGGGAGGCGGUCACGCCGGCGGUUGUGACACUGGAGGUGGUGAUAGUGGCGGUGGUUGUGACAGUGGGGGAGGCGGUAGUUGUGACAGUGGGGGAGGCGGUGGCUGUGACAGUGGGGGAGGUGGUGGUUGUGACAGUGGGGGAGGCGGUGGUUGUGACAGUGGGGGCGGUUGUGACAGUGGUGGAGGAGGAGGUGGUGUUGAUUAGUAUUUUAAGAAUGUUUUGUACGUUUAAUUUUUACAAAUGUUUUAAUGUUUGUUUUAUUUCAUCGCACAAUAAUGGGAAUACACUUAAUGUUAAAUAAAACAAAAUGAAUGGAAACAGA
Molecule: RNA transcript, 8907 nt
Organism: Cydia pomonella (codling moth)
Lineage: Eukaryota; Metazoa; Arthropoda; Insecta; Lepidoptera; Tortricidae
Gene name: protein FAM98B-like
Exons: 5
Source: RefSeq, a predicted model, not a curated record